AGCUAAUGCCGCAUACGACCUAAGGGUGAAAGCAGGGGAUCUUCGGACCUUGCGUUAUUAGAGCGGCCGAUAUCUGAUUAGCUUGUUGGUGGGGUAAUGGCCUACCAAGGCGACGAUCAGUAGCUGGUCUGAGAGGACGAUCAGCCACACUGGAACUGAGACACGGUCCAGACUCCUACGGGAGGCAGCAGUGGGGAAUUUUGGACAAUGGGGGCAACCCUGAUCCAGCCAUUCCGCGUGAGUGAAGAAGGCCUUCGGGUUGUAAAGCUCUUUCGCAAGAGAAGAAAACUUGCUAUCUAAUAAAUAGUAAGUAUGAC
This 317-nucleotide ribosomal RNA is filed under the name uncultured bacterium. Its description in RNAcentral is "bacterial SSU rRNA". It matches the Rfam family "Bacterial small subunit ribosomal RNA", at positions 161 to 473 of the family's 1533-position model. The record is from RNAcentral.